GACAGAGGGUGCAAACGUUGUUCGGAAUCACUGGGCGUAAAGCGCGUGUAGGCGGCUAUGUAAGUCGGACGUGAAAUCCCACGGCUCAACCGUGGAAGUGCGCUCGAAACUGUGUAGCUUGAGUCCUGGAGAGGAAGACGGAAUACUUGGUGUAGAGGUGAAAUUCGUAGAUAUCAGGUAGAACACCAGUGGCGAAGGCGGUCUUCUGGACAGUGACUGACGCUGAGACGCGAAAGCGUGGGGAG
RNAcentral lists this ribosomal RNA (245 nucleotides) under uncultured Myxococcales bacterium. RNAcentral's name for it is "partial 16S ribosomal RNA". It matches the Rfam family "Bacterial small subunit ribosomal RNA", at positions 524 to 768 of the family's 1533-position model. Lineage: Bacteria; Pseudomonadati; Myxococcota; Myxococcia; Myxococcales. The record is from RNAcentral.